Molecule: long non-coding RNA, 1892 nt
Organism: Rosa rugosa (rugosa rose)
Lineage: Eukaryota; Viridiplantae; Streptophyta; Magnoliopsida; Rosales; Rosaceae
Exons: 7
Source: RefSeq, a predicted model, not a curated record
UCCUAAGAUUGGGCUCCAAAACUGAAAUCCAAUUGAAAUAAAAAAGGCGGAGCUGCAGUACUUGGCGUUUUCGAUUUCCUCCCGAAAUUUCACUUCCCCCUCCCCGACUUGCACUCCCGCCGAUUUUUCUUUGCCAAAAGUUAAACUUCCCACUUGUUUUUUUGCACACAAAUUCCCACUCUGGCCUCUAUUUUUUCAUUGACCUACCUCUCUCUCUCUCUCUCUCUCUGCAUCUCUUCCUCAUCGAAUUCAAUCACCACAGACGAGUAUUCUCUCUCCUUCUCGAUCUGUCUAUACCGUUUUCUUCUCGCCAGAUCUGUGUGCUUUGGUGCUGGGUAACAAUUGUUUCUUCAUGAUUCCCCGUUGGUUUUCUUUCACCAGGAUCUACGAGCUUUCUCCGUUGCCAUUAACGAGGAUCCGAUCUAAGAGUCUUGACUGGCGGUGGCUUUCUUCUCAUCCAAAUCAGAAUUAGAUGGAUGCCAAGCCUAAACCCUCUCAUCCUCUUUGCAAUGAUGUCGCCGUCAUCUCUCCGCAAACCACCGACCUCACCGCCUACCCUAGACGCCUCCGCGAUGUCGUUCUUCACCCAUAUCAUCCACCGUCCUCACCAAAUCGAACUUUUGGUAAUAAUUAUUAUAAGGUUUUGUUGGGUUUUGGUUAGUUCAUCAGUUUGGCUCCAAAUAUGUCUUACACAUCUCAUAUCAUCCACCACUCCAAAAAGGUCCGCUCUUCAAUUGAAUUUGGUUUUGAUUCUAAUCUGGGUGAUGCUGUUUACUUUGAUUCUAAUCUGGGUGAUGCUGUUUACUUUGAUUCUAAUCUGGGUGAUGCUGUUUACUUUCAUUAAUUUAUGACAUAUUUAUUCUGUUUUCUUUCUCCAAAUUUUGUUAUAGGAUUAUGUGCCUACAGUGUUUGACAACAUCAGUGCUAAUUUGGUGGCGGAUGCACAGUUAACCUUGGAUUGUCGGACACUGCAGGCUGAGCAUCUUGCUGGGUUUGUUCUUUCUAAGUUAGUAAGCUUGCAUGAAUUCAAUGGAUGGAUGGACAGCUCAAGAAAGUAUUGAAACUCCAGACUUACUAUUUCAAUUUAUUAUAAAUAAGUUCUAGCACUUAGAGGAAAGGACUACGGCAAGUCAAAGAUGAGUUAUCUGGGCCAUGAUUUCAGGUUAUUCUUAUUCUUACUAUCUAGUAAUCAUUUAAGUAAGUUUUAAUGGAUUUAAGCUCAGCUUUGUGCAAUCAGAUAUGGGAAAUCGUUGAAUUCCAGUUGUCAAGUAUUCGUUUCUGUUUCGGUGCGCCUGUGAGUAUUUUUCUGUGUUCUCCAUUUUCAGUUCAGUUUUGAAGUAUUGUUUUCAUGUGUGUGUGACUAAGAGAAUGACAUUGCUGUGAUGUUUGUAUAUAAAGGCAUCUCAUUUCUGUUUUGCGCAUUUUCAAAUAGGUCCAUUUUCCUGUGGGAAACUGGGAAUCUUUGUAUAUAAGUAUCUUUGUUUAAAGAAAGAACUCAUUUUUUGUUGUUGUUAUCAUCUCAGUGGGCAUUGAUGGCUUAUUUAGAAAUUUCGAGAUUCUCAAGAAAACUGGGUUGAACAAAUGUCUGAGGUCCAGAUCGUGCAAUGUGUUUCAUUCUAAAGCCUGUAGACAAAAAAUGCGGAGGGACAGACUGAAUGGCAAGUUAUGAUUGAAGAUAUUGGGAAGCAGAUUAAGCAACUAUAAACCUACAAGGUGCAGGACAUUGAUUUACUUGACUAGAAUUGUUGAACUGUAAUUUGUUAUACUUUAUAAAUUUGUAUGCAUAUGGUGUAUUUUGAUUUAGUUAAUAUUGCAUUUGGUGGUGUAUUUUGAGGGGUGUACAAUUGGAGAAAGCUUCCUUUUAUUAUUAAUUAAAUUUUUUUUUUGGGUUU